CUGUACCACUCGGGGGCCAGGUACCCACGCGUGCCGCGGACACCGGUGAAGGUGCGUGUCUGGUCAGGUUGGAGCAGUUUGGCGAGCCCGAAGUCGGCGAUCUUGGCGGUGCCGUCCGCGUCUAUGAGGAUGUUCUGUGGCUUGACAUCGCAGUGGAUCACGCGACAGUCGAGCUCGUCGUGGAGGUACCGCAGGCCCCGGGCCACGUCGAGCGCGAUGCCAAGGCGGUCGGACCAUGGAGGCGUCAAGGCAGCACCCCUGAAGAGCAAGUCGGCCACCGAGCCAUUGCUCAUGAACUCAUACACCAGGAGGCGGUUGGCGCCCUGGUGGCAGAAGCCGAGGAGGCGGACCAGGUUGCGGUGGCUCGUCCGCCCAAUGGCGCGCACCUCUCUCUGGAACUCCCGUUCGCCGUCCUCCACGAGCUUCUCCAGUCGCUUCACGGCGAUAGCCUGCUCGCCGUUGCGCAGCGCGCCUUUGAACACCGUGCCAAACACGCCGCGGCCCACCGGGUCACGGAAGCAGUACGUGGCGCGCUCCAGCUCCCGGUAA
This 549-nucleotide ribosomal RNA is filed under the name Triticum aestivum (bread wheat). RNAcentral's name for it is "partial small subunit ribosomal RNA". The record is from RNAcentral. Lineage: Eukaryota; Viridiplantae; Streptophyta; Magnoliopsida; Poales; Poaceae.